GGUGUGUUAGUUUAAUUGGUAGAACGUUGUGUUUCGGCCACAAAGAUUACAGGUUCAAAUCUUGUACACAUCU
This 73-nucleotide transfer RNA is filed under the name Lachnellula willkommii. It matches the Rfam family "tRNA". From Rfam's summary of the family: Transfer RNA (tRNA) molecules are approximately 80 nucleotides in length. Their secondary structure includes four short double-helical elements and three loops (D, anti-codon, and T loops). Further hydrogen bonds mediate the characteristic L-shaped molecular structure. tRNAs have two regions of fundamental functional importance: the anti-codon, which is responsible for specific mRNA codon recognition, and the 3' end, to which the tRNAs corresponding amino acid is attached (by aminoacyl-tRNA synthetases). tRNAs cope with the degeneracy of the genetic code in two manners: having more than one tRNA (with a specific anti-codon) for a particular amino acid; and 'wobble' base-pairing, i.e. permitting non-standard base-pairing at the 3rd anti-codon position. The record is from Rfam by way of RNAcentral. Lineage: Eukaryota; Fungi; Ascomycota; Leotiomycetes; Helotiales; Lachnaceae. RNAcentral also lists the same sequence under 1 other name.